RNAcentral lists this ribosomal RNA (497 nucleotides) under uncultured bacterium. RNAcentral describes it as "partial 16S ribosomal RNA". It matches the Rfam family "Bacterial small subunit ribosomal RNA", at positions 28 to 507 of the family's 1533-position model. The record is from RNAcentral.
GAUGAACGCUGGCGGCGUGCCUAAUACAUGCAAGUCGAGCGAACGGACGAGAAGCUUUCUUCUCUGAUGUUAGCGGCGGACGGGUGAGUAACACGUGGAUAACCUACCUAUAAGACUGGGAUAACUUCGGGAAACCGGAGCUAAUACCGGAUAAUAUUUUGAACCGCAUGGUUCAAAAGUGAAUGACGGUCUUGCUGUCACUUAUAGAUGGAUCCGCGCUGCAUUAGCUAGUUGGUAAGGUAACGGCUUACCAAGGCAACGAUGCAUAGCCGACCUGAGAGGGUGAUCGGCCACACUGGAACUGAGACACGGUCCAGACUCCUACGGGAGGCAGCAGUAGGGAAUCUUCCGCAAUGGGCGAAAGCCUGACGGAGCAACGCCGCGUGAGUGAUGAAGGUCUUCGGAUCGUAAAACUCUGUUAUUAGGGAAGAACAUAUGUGUAAGUAACUGUGCACAUCUUGACGGUACCUAAUCAGAAAGCCACGGCUAACUACGUG